RNAcentral lists this ribosomal RNA (460 nucleotides) under uncultured bacterium. Its description in RNAcentral is "partial 16S ribosomal RNA". It matches the Rfam family "Bacterial small subunit ribosomal RNA", at positions 338 to 795 of the family's 1533-position model. The record is from RNAcentral.
CCUACGUGAGGCAGCAGUGAGGAAUAUUGGUCAAUGGACGAGAGUCUGAACCAGCCAAGUCGCGUGAAGGAUGACUGCCCUAUGGGUUGUAAACUUCUUUUAUACAGGGAUAAAACGCGGCACGUGUGUCUGUUUGCAAGUACUGUACGAAUAAGGAUCGGCUAACUCCGUGCCAGCAGCCGCGGUAAUACGGAGGAUUCGAGCGUUAUCCGGAUUUAUUGGGUUUAAAGGGAGCGUAGAUGGGUUGUUAAGUUAGUUGUGAAAGUUUGGGGCUCAACCGUGAAAUUGCAAUUGAAACUGUCAGUCUUGAGUACAGUUGAGGUAGGCGGAAUGCGUGGUGUAGCGGUGAAAUGCUUAGAGAUCACGAAGAACCCCGAUUGCGAAGGCAGCUUACUAAACUGUGACUGACAUUGAGGCACGAAAGUGUGGGGAGCAAACAGGAUUAGAUACCCCUGUAGUC